RNAcentral lists this ribosomal RNA (671 nucleotides) under uncultured bacterium. RNAcentral's name for it is "bacterial SSU rRNA". It matches the Rfam family "Bacterial small subunit ribosomal RNA", at positions 62 to 697 of the family's 1533-position model. The record is from RNAcentral.
UCGAGCGGAAACGAGUUAACUGAACCUUCGGGGGACGUUAACGGCGUCGAGCGGCGGACGGGUGAGUAAUGCCUGGGAAAUUGCCCUGAUGUGGGGGAUAACCAUUGGAAACGAUGGCUAAUACCGCAUAAUAGCCCGGUUCUUCGGAAUUGGACUCAAAGAGGGGGACCUUUUAGGCCUCUCGCGUCAGGAUAUGCCCAGGUGGGAUUAGCUAGUUGGUGAGGUAAUGGCUCACCAAGGCGACGAUCCCUAGCUGGUCUGAGAGGAUGAUCAGCCACACUGGAACUGAGACACGGUCCAGACUCCUACGGGAGGCAGCAGUGGGGAAUAUUGCACAAUGGGCGCAAGCCUGAUGCAGCCAUGCCGCGUGUGUGAAGAAGGCCUUCGGGUUGUAAAGCACUUUCAGCAGUGAGGAAGGUGGUGUCGUUAAUAGCGGCAUCAUUUGACGUUAGCUGCAGAAGAAGCACCGGCUAACUCCGUGCCAGCAGCCGCGGUAAUACGGAGGGUGCGAGCGUUAAUCGGAAUUACUGGGCGUAAAGCGCAUGCAGGUGGUUAGUUAAGUCAGAUGUGAAAGCCCGGGGCUCAACCUCGGAACUGCAUUUGAAACUGGCUGACUAGAGUACUGUAGAGGGGGGUAGAAUUUCAGGUGUAGCGGUGAAAUGCGUAGAGAU